UACAGAGGUCUCGAGCGUUGUUCGGAUUCAUUGGGCGUAAAGCGUGCGCAGGCGGUUUUGUAAGCCAGAUGUGAAAGCCCCGGGCUCAACCUGGGAACUGCAUUUGGGACUGCAAGGCUGGAGUACGGCAGAGGGAGGUGGAAUUCCACGUGUAGCAGUGAAAUGCGUAGAGAUGUGGAGGAACACCGAUGGCGAAGGCAGCCUCCUGGGCUAGUACUGACGCUCAUGCACGAAAGCGUGGGGAGCAAACAGG
This 253-nucleotide ribosomal RNA is filed under the name uncultured bacterium. Its description in RNAcentral is "partial 16S ribosomal RNA". It matches the Rfam family "Bacterial small subunit ribosomal RNA", at positions 524 to 776 of the family's 1533-position model. The record is from RNAcentral.